RNAcentral lists this ribosomal RNA (303 nucleotides) under uncultured bacterium. RNAcentral's name for it is "partial 16S ribosomal RNA". It matches the Rfam family "Bacterial small subunit ribosomal RNA", at positions 507 to 807 of the family's 1533-position model. The record is from RNAcentral.
AGCAGUCGCCGCGGGAAUACGUAGGGUGCAAGCGUUAAUCGGAAUUAUUGGGCGUAAAGCGAGUGCAGACGGUUACUUAAGCCAGAUGUGAAAUCCCCAAGCUUAACUUGGGACGUGCAUUUGGAACUGGGUGACUAGAGUGUGUCAGAGGGAGGUAGAAUUCCACGUGUAGCGGUGGAAUGCGUAGAGAUGUGGAGGAAUACCGAUGGCGAAGGCAGCCUCCUGGGAUAACACUGACGUUGAGGCUCGAAAGCGUGGGGAGCAAACAGGAUUAGAUACCCCCGUAGUCCCUGUCUCUUAUAC